Molecule: ribosomal RNA, 404 nt
Filed under: uncultured bacterium
Lineage: Bacteria
Description: bacterial SSU rRNA
Rfam family: Bacterial small subunit ribosomal RNA
Source: RNAcentral
UGGGGAAUCUUGGACAAUGGGCGCAAGCCUGAUCCAGCCAUGCCGCGUGAGUGAAGAAGGCCUUAGGGUUGUAAAACUCUUUCGCCGGUGAAGAUAAUGACUGUAGCCGGAGAAGAAGCCCCGGCUAACUUCGUGCCAGCAGCCGCGGUAAUACGAAGGGGGCUAGCGUUGUUCGGAAUUACUGGGCGUAAAGCGCACGUAGGCGGAUCUGUAAGUUGGGGGUGAAAGCCCAGGGCUCAACCCUGGAAUUGCCUUCAAGACUGCAGGUCUUGAGGUCAGGAGAGGCGAGUGGAAUUCCGAGUGUAGAGGUGAAAUUCGUAGAUAUUCGGAGGAACACCAGUGGCGAAGGCGACUCGCUGGACUGAUACUGACGCUGAGGUGCGAAAGCGUGGGGAGCAAACAGG